UUAGCUGAAAAUUUGUGUGUGCCCUACAGGAUAUUAAAGCAUUAUUUCCUCCUGACUACAAUCCAUUCUAUGCGGGCUUCGGGAACAGGGACACUGACGAACUCAGUUACAGAAAAAUGGGGAUUCCAAAGGGCAAAAUCUUUAUCAUUAAUCCUAAGGGCGAGGUGGCCAACUGUCAGCAUCGCAUGGAUGUGAAGACAUAUACAUCCUUACAUACACUGGUCAAUGACAUGUUCCCUCCGACUUCAAUGGUUGAGCAGGAAGACUACAAUUCAUGGAAUUACUGGAAAAUGCCGCUCCCUGAUGUUGAGUUGUAGCUCCUGGAAGGAAGACACGACCUGGCUACAGCUUGCUUAGAUUGGGUUACGGAGGCAUUCUCUACCCGCAUUACAUACACCAUUUAUUCCCCAAACAUAUAUAAUCCCGGAAUGAAGGCUAAGAUGCUCAUCAUUUAUAAUUUUUCAUUUUUGCCUUUUUUUUUUUUUAACUUGCCAGCCACGCCACCCUGAUGUAAAAUUGUAAACCAUUCAACUUGUACCCACCCAGAAAGGACAUGGACCAUACAGCUUUCUUAGGAAAUAAAACUUAUUUUGUUAUUUUCACGGAAUGUCAAAGGUCACGCUUUCUUUCUCGCGAUUUCCCAUA
Diospyros lotus (date-plum) is the source of this 645-nucleotide long non-coding RNA. RefSeq lists it as uncharacterized. The record is from RefSeq and is a predicted model, not a curated record. The transcript has 3 exons. Lineage: Eukaryota; Viridiplantae; Streptophyta; Magnoliopsida; Ericales; Ebenaceae.